Molecule: ribosomal RNA, 253 nt
Filed under: uncultured bacterium
Lineage: Bacteria
Description: partial 16S ribosomal RNA
Rfam family: Bacterial small subunit ribosomal RNA
Source: RNAcentral
GACGUAGGGAGCGAGCGUUGUCCGGCUUCAUUGGGCGUAAAGAGCGCGCAGGCGGUUUGGUAAGUCGGAUGUGAAAUCCCGGAGCUCAACUCCGGACCUGCAUCCGAUACUGCCCGACUAGAGGUAGGUAGGGGAGAUCGGAAUUCCUGGUGUAGCGGUGAAAUGCGCAGAUAUCAGGAGGAACACCGGUGGCGAAGGCGGAUCUCUGGGCCUUACCUGACGCUCAGGCGCGAAAGCUAGGGGAGCGAACAGG